ANCAAUGGGAACCUGCAUGGAUGACGCCGCGUGGAGGACGAAGGUCUUCGGAUUGUAAACUCCUGUCAUGCGGGAACAAGAAAGUGAUAGUGCUGCAAGAGGAAGAGACGGCUAACUCUGUGCCAGCAGCCGCGGUAAUACAGAGGUCUCGAGCGUUGUUCGGAUUCAUUGGGCGUAAAGGGUGCGUAGGUGGUGUGGAAAGUUGAGUGUGAAAUCCUAGGGCUUAACCUUAGAACUGCACUCAAAACUCCCAUACUAGAGGAAUGUAGAGGAGAGUGGAAUUCACGGUGUAGCAGUGAAAUGCGUAGAUAUCGUGAGGAAGACCAGUUGCGAAAGCGACUCUCUGGGCAUUUCCUGACACUGAGGCACGAAGGCUAGGGGAGCAAACGGGAUUAGAUACCCCGGUAGUCCUAGCAGUAAACGGUGCACGUUUGGUGUGGGCGGGUUCAGACCCCGUCCGUGCCGGAGCUAACGCGUUAAACGUGCCGCCUGGGAAGUACGGUCGCAAGAUUAAAACUCAAAGAAAUUGACGGGGGCCCGCACAAGCGGUGGAGUAUGUGGCUUAAUUCGAUGCAACGCGAAGAACCUUACCUGGUCUUGACAUGCAUCUCU
RNAcentral lists this ribosomal RNA (612 nucleotides) under uncultured bacterium. Its description in RNAcentral is "bacterial SSU rRNA". It matches the Rfam family "Bacterial small subunit ribosomal RNA", at positions 367 to 995 of the family's 1533-position model. The record is from RNAcentral.